UACGUAGGGGGCAAGCGUUGUCCGGAAUUAUUGGGCGUAAAGAGCUCGUAGGCGGUCUGUUACGUCGGCUGUGAAAACCUGGGGCUCAACUCCGGGCCUGCAGCCGAUACGGGCAGACUAGAGUUCGGCAGGGGAGACUGGAAUUCCUGGUGUAGCGGUGAAAUGCGCAGAUAUCAGGAGGAACACCCGUAGCGAAGGCGGCACUCUGGGCCGAUACUGACACUGAGGAGCGAAAGCGUGGGGAGCGAACAGG
RNAcentral lists this ribosomal RNA (253 nucleotides) under uncultured bacterium. Its description in RNAcentral is "partial 16S ribosomal RNA". It matches the Rfam family "Bacterial small subunit ribosomal RNA", at positions 524 to 776 of the family's 1533-position model. The record is from RNAcentral.